Molecule: long non-coding RNA, 517 nt
Filed under: Ornithorhynchus anatinus (platypus)
Lineage: Eukaryota; Metazoa; Chordata; Mammalia; Monotremata; Ornithorhynchidae
Description: lncRNA (ENSOANG00000036541.1)
Source: RNAcentral
CAGAAAAAUGAAAUGAAGGAAAUAGAAAGGAACCAACAGUACGAUAUGAUCUGACACACCCUUUACUCUGCCUCAGAUUUGCUGCUAGUGGAUCCCUGGUGACUGAUAGACCAGCUCAGUCAUUCCCUCAGAGCUUGCAAGCUCCCAGCACCAGCUGGCUUUGACAUUAGGCCCCGCCUGAUGUUACUGCUCCAGGACCUCCUCAAGUACCUCCGAUCUCCCCCUCAUUUGUCUUUGAGAGCUCCAGAUGUCUACCCACCAAACAGGAAGGAUGAGAUGUGGCAACCUCUGCUGUUUGUUUUGGCACCACUGGGCGGUGAUGACAGCACAUGUGAGGAUUGAACCUCCCAAAUUGCUUGCUUGAGUCCAGAAGAGGAGUGGAAAAGUUGAAUGCUUAAUAUGCAAAUUAGCCAGAGCCAGUUUUUGAAGAAAAUCAGACUGAGAUGAAGAGAAAUGAGGCAGCAGGUGGUUAGCCAUUUUAAUAAAAAUAAAAUUUGACCUACAGCCUGGAACAGCA